AUAAAAGGAGCUGCUUGGUGGGAGUGAGACAAUUCCUGGCUGGAGCUAGAGGAGUGAAUAGAGAUGCGCCCUAGCUUAUAGCCAAAGGACCCAGUCUGGGCCAGGGCUCACCGCUGUACCCAGUCAGCGGUAACAGUUCAGAAGGAUCCCUACUAAUUCAGUUUCAGAAAGGGCAUUUAGCCCUAGAAGGGCAGGAAACCGUUUUGUUUAUAAUUGGCCCUGAAGGGCAAGGAACUUCUUCUGUUUAAGUUUGUUUUAUCCCAGAAGGGUUUGGAUUGUGUGAUCCUAGCGGGGGGCUGACCCAGUAAAGACCUGCGAAGGCAGGCUGGGAGCUGAAGAGACUGGUGCACUGUGCUUGGUCUCUGGGGGUGCUCCAGGAGGUGAGUGCAAUCCACCACAAUGGGAAAUGAAAUUUUGCGUUUUAAACCAAGUGCCUACAGAAGUGCAAGGCCAGCAUAUGAUUGCACGGGGACAAUGGCAUUGAAACUACAAUUCUGACCUGGAUAUUCUUUUGAACAAUAUCCUGAAAAGAGAAGGUGGAAAUGAAGGUGUUAAAAAUGUUUAAAUCAGUUACAAGAGAAAAGCAAUUCAAUUGAACUGCCAGAAACAAUUUGCUAUCCAUGAUGACAAUGGAGGCACCGGAUCCAUUGGUCCUGAAUACUGGAAUGUCCCAGACUCCCAGAACGAACUGAAAAUUACAACUCCCCAGAAGAUAUUUUCACCCUUCCUUAUCCUCAGUCUCCUCUUGGGUCUGACCUUCUGAGAGUUAUUGUGACACCAGAGGAGGAAACUACCUCAAGGAGAUGGGAAUGUUCCACUCCUCAGUCCAUAGGCAGGAGCCUUUACCCACCAGAAUUAAUUGCUCCACUGGUCAAGGGGAACUAGCCUUCUCCUUGGAGGAGUUAGAGGCUCCAGACAUUGCUUCACCCCCAGGCAGGUAGGUGAGUUGGGACAGCAACUCGAAUAUCCAGGGUCCAUUCUCCACCUAGAUAUGACUACCUAAGGGACCCUCACCAGUUUGACCAUUUAUAUUGGCCCUAUUGGGGUCCAUGGGAUCCAUACACAUGAUAUCCUGGUUCCAUCCAUAAGCCCCACUGUACCUCUCCCAUGUGAUACUUACCAGCUCCAUCAGAGUAUGAGGGAGAAAUGACCAAACCAGAUUGCAGGUAUCUAUGAAUGUUUCUUCUGCUUACCAGGUAAGGCAAUUUACCCAUCUUUGUCAUCGCAACCACAGGCUAUAUCAGGAGCUACUGCAGAGAGCAUCAAAUUACCUCCAGAUUCUACUACAGAAUGUCCAGGAUACCCUCCAUCAACUCUUUGACAUGAUACAACCUUCUGGUCCCAGUAAAGUGGCCCUCCCAAUAAACGAGGCCAUCAUGGAACCAGCUAGUGUGGUCUGUCACACUCUGGCCUCCUGAACCCCUACACUGAAAAGGGCUGAGGGGUACUAUUUUGUACCAGUCAAAGGAGUGGAGUGCCUCUUCCCAACCCAGCUCCCUGAUGGUGCAAGCAGCCACUGAGGGUCCAACAUGUACAACACGUGUGGAUGGCCCAUGUCAGCUGACCUGGGCUUGUGUGGGCUUGGGUUGUGGGCGGCCCACCUCCCCACCCAGCACUGCUGCAGAUAGGCAGUAGCAGAAAUAGCUAGUGGAAUCUGGAGGGAGGCUGCCCAGCAUUGUGAGUGGGAGGGAGAUAAUCCAGUAGUGAGCGAGGCAGUGUCCAGCACCAGAAAAGAAGGGAUGCAUCAGUGGGGAGCCAGUGGACAGGGACCCCAGUAGCUGAGUUGCAUCAUCAGAGGGAUGCCAGGAACAGACCUGAAGAGAGAAAGUCCAGUUCAGGAGGGAUGGGAAAGAUAGAGAUAGUAGGAACAGUAGGGAUAGUCAAGGGACACAAAAGAGGAAAGAGAGUGGUCUACGGAGAAAAGGUAAAGAAAGAUAAGUACAGUUAAACAAGAGGAAAAAUAAAGAGUCAAAUCUAAAAACUAUUAGAAAAACAUUGUUGGAAAACUGUCAGAAGUAAAGCAAGAAUGAAAUGUAAAAGAAAUAAGCUGUAAUAAAAGAUAAACUGUAAUUAAAGAGAAACAGACUUAAGAAAUAAGGAGGAAGUGAGCUGUAGUGAAAGUGAGAAAAUAGUAAGGACUGUAAAACAAAACAUCCAGAUAGUAUUUUAAGGUAUACAAGGUGAAGUGACAGGAAUAGAGAAAUUAUCAGAGAACAAAGGCACUGUAAGCCAGCAAGGAGUGGAGGGAUAAUUGUUCAAUCAAGAAACCAACACAUCACAUCAAGGAGUACAUGUCUUUUUAUUUAAGCUGGAACUCAAAACUGUAAACAAAGAUUGCUCAAGAUAUAAUUAAACAUCCUAAGAACUUUUCCUCCAAACUCUAGGCUUACAAGGGAACACACAAUGGUGAGGUUCAUAUUUUAGUGCAUCGUAUUAGGUAAUUCCAAAUUCUGUUUCAUAAAUAUAAAUUGUUACCUAUAAUGUGAAUUUAAUUUUUAGUUAAAAAUAGUAGUUAAAAUACAAUAAAUGAAAGUAAUAGUUU
Molecule: long non-coding RNA, 2542 nt
Organism: Chelonia mydas (Green sea turtle)
Lineage: Eukaryota; Metazoa; Chordata; Testudines; Cheloniidae
Exons: 3
Source: RefSeq, a predicted model, not a curated record